AGAGUUUGAUCCUGGCUCAGGAUGAACGCUAGCUACAGGCUUAACACAUGCAAGUCGAGGGGCAGCAUGGUCUUAGCUUGCUAAGGCCGAUGGCGACCGGCGCACGGGUGAGUAACACGUAUCCAACCUGCCGUCUACUCUUGGACAGCCUUCUGAAAGGAAGAUUAAUAUAAGAUGGCAUCAUGAGUCCGCAUGUUCACAUGAUUAAAGGUAUUCCGGUAGACGAUGGGGAUGCAUUCCAUUAGAUAGUAGGCGGGGUAACGGCCACCUAGUCUUCGAUGGAUAGGGGUUCUGAGAGGAACGGUCCCCACAUUGGAACUGAGACACGGUCCAAACUCCUACGGGAGGCA
RNAcentral lists this ribosomal RNA (350 nucleotides) under uncultured bacterium. RNAcentral's name for it is "bacterial SSU rRNA". It matches the Rfam family "Bacterial small subunit ribosomal RNA", at positions 8 to 350 of the family's 1533-position model. The record is from RNAcentral.